UCGUACUAGGCGGGGGGCUGGUGGUCUCCUGUAACCCGAAACCCACCUUAGCGGGGCCGAAUUCCCUGACUGAGGCUAUCUGGGUUCGGUAUCGGUGCAUUCGGUGACGUUGAAGAUUGGGUCCUACGCAACAACUACCUGCGAACCGGGUCAGGUCCGGAAGGAAGCAGCCCUAAGUAGGCAAGUGUGUGCCGUAGGGGUGCCCAGUCGGAGUCAUUUAGAAUGCAUGCGACCGGGUCUAGGUAUGUCGAAGCAGGGUGUACGG
RNAcentral lists this signal recognition particle RNA (265 nucleotides) under Fervidobacterium sp. RNAcentral's name for it is "signal recognition particle sRNA large type". It matches the Rfam family "Bacterial large signal recognition particle RNA". From Rfam's summary of the family: The signal recognition particle (SRP) is a universally conserved ribonucleoprotein involved in the co-translational targeting of proteins to membranes. Archaeal SRP consists of a 7S RNA and homologues of the eukaryotic SRP19 and SRP54 proteins. Lineage: Bacteria; Thermotogati; Thermotogota; Thermotogae; Thermotogales; Fervidobacteriaceae. The record is from RNAcentral.